AGGAAUACCUGUCUGUUUCCCUUCUGGCUCCAUGGAAUGUGCACACACUCAGAGGAAGCAGAUCGUGUGUCUCAAAGGCCAUGUACACUCCACACAGCUGAAAGUAGUAAUCCAGCCUAGUGUAGAUGUGCUCUGGGAGCACAUGCCUCCCAUCAUCUUCAGAGAGUCUGUGGAAGCAUUCCUGGACAUGGUCAGUGGAGUGGCCCAGCAACAAUAUUAUGAAGUAGAAAGCAGGAGAAAUGAACUUCACUGCACACAAAGGUUUCAGCUCUUUAUUAGGGGACAAAAUAUAAAAAAAGGAAGAAUGAGGAAGGAGCAAUAAAAAUAACACAAAGCUAAAACCCAAAAUAGUUCAUCCUUUGGUAAGUCUAGAAGUGCUUCAAACAGAAUUUAUUUGGUAGUCAUAGUACGCUUUUUUUUUUUUUUUUUUUUAACCAUAAACCAGAAAAUAUAUUUGCAGACGGCACUGUUGGUUCUUUACAUGUGAAUAUAUCUGGUGUGUAGUGUGUCACAAUAUAAAAUUUCCCCCUUUUUCCUUUUUUUUUUUUUUUUUUUUACCAUUGUAAGGUACUAAUGUAACAUUACUUGGGAAUCUAUGGACUAACGUGACAGAAACAUGUUUGAAUUUUCCUUUUUAAGACCAAAUCGACUACUAUAGUCAAGGAGUAUAUAUAGUUAAAGGUAUUUUUUCAUUCAC
RNAcentral lists this long non-coding RNA (697 nucleotides) under Anas platyrhynchos platyrhynchos (common mallard). RNAcentral's name for it is "lncRNA (ENSAPLG00000020744.1)". The record is from RNAcentral. Lineage: Eukaryota; Metazoa; Chordata; Aves; Anseriformes; Anatidae.